CCCUUAUAUGUUCUGGGCUGCACGCGCGCUACACUGAAGCUAUCAACACGUUUUCCCUCCCUGAGAAGGGCGGGUAACCUUUUGAAUCAGCUUCGUGGUAGGGAUCGGGGCUUGCAAUUGUUCCCCGUGAACCAGGAAUUCCUAGUAGACGCGAGUCAUAAGCUCGCAUCGAUUAAGUCCCUGCCCUUUGUACACACCGCCCGUCGCUACUACCGAUUGAACGUUUUAGUGAGGCAUUUGGACCGACGCAUCUCAGUUUAACCGCUGGUUUGUGUUGGAAAGACUUCCAAACUUGAGCGUUUAGAGGAAGUAAAAGUCGUAACA
Molecule: ribosomal RNA, 324 nt
Filed under: uncultured eukaryote
Lineage: Eukaryota
Description: partial 18S ribosomal RNA
Rfam family: Eukaryotic small subunit ribosomal RNA
Source: RNAcentral